CAUCUUCUGGCCUGCGCACUCCUACACACAUGUGACGUGCCCUGCCACACACACAAAAGAGCAGGAUGGAGCAACAGAUUUCUCUUCUUUGUCUCUUGUAUAAUAUUUAUUUGAAGUGCUGUGGAUUGAAACCAGGACCUAGGGCAUUUUGGGUAAACACUGAAACACUAAACUAAAUACCUCACCCCAAUAUCUUUAUUUUUUUUAAUUUAUCCUUUGUUAAUGUUUGAAUAUGGUUAAACAUUUCAUUUAACCUAAGAGAUAGCUAGAUAUUAUAAAUAUGAGGAAAAAAGUAUACUUCACAAAACUUAAAUGAUUAAAAGUAAAUAUUGUUGGCUACUAUUUUUCUAAGCUUUUGUAUAUGUGCAUGUGUGUGUAUGUAUGAGAGACAGAGAGAGAAAGAGACAGACAGACAGAUGGACAGACAGACAGACAGAGCACAAAAAAACUUUACUUAACAUUUUUUUUCUAGCAAACACACUGAGAUCCCUAAUUCAGCUGUAGUUUGGGCCCAAAUCAAAAAAGCAGAGAGGAAGGUGGUGGGCGGCGGAUAGGAACAUCAAAGGCUGUGAAGGUGACUGUGGGUAAAGUGUUCGCCAUUCCAGUGUAGGACUGAAAUCUGGAACCUAUGUAAUAGCCAGGCAGAAACAGCAGCUGCCUACAAUGCCCAAGACAGGGUAAAAAGACAGGACCCCUGGGGCAAACUGGCUGGGUAGACUACCUGCGACUGGUGAGCUCCUAGUGAAGAAACUCUGUCUCAAUAAAUAAAGCAGGGGAGCAAUCAAGGUGGACACUGACAUCAACCUAGGACCCUCACAUGCACACACACGUACACACACCAUGCACACGCGCACACGAAAUCCAAUAAAAACUUUAAGAGUAAAGAUGUAGGGACUCUAUAGAGAUGCUGAUUCUCUGGUAUUUGUGUGUUCUGCCACUAUGUGUUUUGUUCAUAUCACACAUGAGUUUGUCUUCUUUUAUUAAACCAUUUCCUAACAUUAAGAUGCUGUCUUAGAUGUAGAGGAUACAAAUCCCUCUUGGAUUAGAACCUGCUUCCCCAUUUCUGACAGUCAGAUGUAUUGUUCAUCAUUCAUAUUCAUCCAUCUGCUGUAAGAAACUGUAACACAGGCACAAAGACAAGCAUCAGCAGGCCACCAGCCACAGGACUGUCAGUGAAGGUCAGCAGGCCACCAGCCACAGGACUGUCAGUGAAGGUCAGCAGGCCACCAGCCACAGGACUGCCAGUGAAGGUCAGCAGGCCACCAGCCACAGGACUGUCAGUGAAGGUCAGCAGGCCACCAGCCACAGGACUGUCAGUGAAGAAGGAGCACAGGCCACCAGCCACAGAACUGUCAGUGAAGGUCAGCAGGCCGCCAGCCACAGGACUGCCAGUGAAGGUCAGCAGGCCACCAGCCACAGGACUGUCAGUGAAGGUCAGCAGGCCACCAGCCACAGGACUGUCAGUGAAGAAGGAGCACAGGCCACCAGCCACAGGACUGUCAGUGAAGGUCAGCAGGCCACAACGCCCUGCAGAGCUCUGCCCUAUCUCCAGGAAGCACCUGGACUCAAAGGGCUGGCUUCCAUACUGAGUGCAGGAAGCCAGAAACCAGCCUAGUGCUGCCCAGUGUUUCACAGUUUUUAAAUAUUCAUCAAAGAUUGAAUUUCAUUAUAUUGUUUAUCUAUUAUAAUUUUAGCGGCAGUUUCAAGUAGCCCAGGCGGGCUUCCCACCUCUCUGAGGCCAAGGGUGAUCCUGUGUUCCAAUCCUGCUGCUUCCCUUUCCCCAGUGCUCGAGUCACAGGCAUGGACCACCUGCCCAGUUUUAUGAGGUGUUAGGGGUUGGACCUAGGACUUCAUGCAUGCUCUAGACAGGCAUCCUACCAGGCAACUACAUCAGCAUUUUUAUGAGAAUCCUAACAUACCAAUCUUUUAUUUGAAAUGCAUUUUUCAAUGACAACUAAUUCAAAAACUUGUUGGGAACCCAACAUGCGUCUUCCCGAUGGAGAACAAUCCACUCGGGACCAGUUUUAGCUUGGGGACGGCUCGUGUGAGAGUCUGGGACGAGCUGUCUCUAAGGUCUCUUUCUACUUAAACAGUUUUAUGAUUUUCAUUAAGCCAUGCUGAAGUUUAAAUCACAGCGGCACAAAUCCAAUUAAAAUCACAGCUGCAAAUGCCAGAACAAAGUCUCCAAGUCACAUGUACCUCGACAAAAACAGGUCCUCAGUGAAGCCAUUCAUCGUGUUCAAUAAAGUAGCUGGUAGCACAAGCUAGGAAGAUCGUUAAAUCUAAAUCAGGAAAUGGAUACAUUUAGUCCUGGGUAUAACUCUCUUGAGACUGGGGGAAAACAGGCGUGUGAUGUCGGUUCUGCCAUUAUCGACUGGGAGUUGCUUUCUUUUUCUGAAAUGGAAAGAUCAUGUGGGUGCUGGUGACACAUAAUCUCACAUCCCAGAGAGGAAAGUGCAAGCCCUUCCAGGACUUCACUGAGUCCUGUCAGAUCACAGUCCUAUGGCUUCCGCUGUGAUACCAUGCACAACUCUAACUGUGCUGUCUUCAGGUAUCUCAAAGCAUUCCCUGGGACCUAGCAAGAAAGUUCCAGAAAACAUGAACUCACAUCAAUCGUAUGAUUAUUCACUGUGUGACUUUUCUGAACUUACUUUUCAUGUAAAAAAACAGAAGUCAUAUGCAAAAGGCUGACAUAAAAAAG
RNAcentral lists this long non-coding RNA (2701 nucleotides) under Cricetulus griseus (Chinese hamster). RNAcentral describes it as "lncRNA (ENSCGRG00015032648.1)". The record is from RNAcentral. Lineage: Eukaryota; Metazoa; Chordata; Mammalia; Rodentia; Cricetidae.